GGGGCUGAGGUGCGGUGAGGCGCGGGAGGAGGGAGGGGGGUGGGGUUGUUGGGGAUGACUGGGUGUAAAGGGGUCGGAGGCGGUGGGGCAAGGCGGGAGUGAAAUGGCUGGGGUCAACUCAGAGGCUGCGUCCGAAACGGCGGUGGUUGGGUGGGGGAGAGGCGCGUGGAAUUGCAGGUGUAGCGGUGAAAUGCGUAGAUAGCUGCAGGAACACCCGUGGCGAAAGCGGCGCGCUGGACCACUACUGACGCUGAGGAACGAAAGCUAGGGGAGCAAACAGGAUUAGAUACCCGAGUAGUC
RNAcentral lists this ribosomal RNA (300 nucleotides) under uncultured Sulfophobococcus sp. Its description in RNAcentral is "bacterial SSU rRNA". The stretch from base 55 to 300 matches the Rfam family "Bacterial small subunit ribosomal RNA", at positions 550 to 795 of the family's 1533-position model. Lineage: Archaea; Thermoproteati; Thermoproteota; Thermoprotei; Desulfurococcales; Desulfurococcaceae. The record is from RNAcentral.